This 525-nucleotide long non-coding RNA is filed under the name Homo sapiens (human). RNAcentral describes it as "non-protein coding lnc-SOWAHB-7:2". Lineage: Eukaryota; Metazoa; Chordata; Mammalia; Primates; Hominidae. The record is from RNAcentral.
UCUGAUCUAAAAAGUAAUGAGUGGCAGUCACAUUAAUUGAAUUCCAUAGUAUUUUGUGUAUACCUGUCUCAUCUGCAUAUCUAGGUUUUUAAAACAGUUACAAAAAGUUAAAUUGUUUUUGAAAAAUCACUAAAGUUGCUUUUUCCCUCUUCAAAAUUUUAGGCUCAUCCAAAAUACUUGAGUUGUAUUGCAAUCAGCUGUUUUUUCCUAGCUGCCAAGACUGUUGAGGAAGAUGAGAGAAUUCCAGUACUAAAGGUAUUGGCAAGAGACAGUUUCUGUGGAUGUUCCUCAUCUGAAAUUUUGAGAAUGGAGAGAAUUAUUCUGGAUAAGUUGAAUUGGGAUCUUCACACAGCCACACCAUUGGAUUUUCUUCAUAUUUUCCAUGCCAUUGCAGUGUCAACUAGGCCUCAGUUACUUUUCAGUUUGCCCAAAUUGAGCCCAUCUCAACAUUUGGCAGUCCUUACCAAGCAACUACUUCACUGUAUGGCCUGCAACCAACUUCUGCAAUUCAGAGGAUCCAUGCUU